GCGUGGAUUUUAAAUGGGCCAAGUAUGACUCAAUACCUUGACCCUACUUGAGAGUAAAGUUCUAUUUGGGUCAAGACAAAUUAGAUUGAGACAUGACCUUGUAUAAGGAUCUUAAUCUCAUGAAUGGUUGGCUUUUCUAGUACUAGCCGUGUCAUUCCUCUACGUAUGAGCCAUAAAGAGUUGGAAGGAUCGGGUGAGUUUAGAUUGGACCACUCAGGGAUUGAGCCUUGCGAAUUAGACUAAUGCGAGCUAGAAAUGAGUCAAACCAAAUGAUCAAAGUCGACCUCAAUAUCGGAUCAAAUGGGUAAGGUUCCUUACGUUGACCUCAACUAACUUGAUCUGAACCUGAUCCAAUCCAACCCAUUGCUGGCCCCAGUCUUUUUUGACAAAAGCCACCACUAGUCUUAAAUCGCUACACAUAGCUAUUGUUUGUUAUUUAAACUAUUAUAAUGCGACUAAUGGCAAGAUUCUUCUGAAACCUCCAGCAUGUCCAAAAUACAUAAUUCGACCGUUACUAAAUUCAUUACUAUGAGGUGUAAUGAUUUAGAAGACUAUGCAUGUCCAAAAUACAUAAUUCAUACGCUGCUAAAUUUGUUACAAUGACCUGAAGACUAUAAUAGCUAUGUUUUUCUGGAAACCUCGGGCACAUGCCCAAAAUACAGAAUUCAUGUGUUACUAAAUUCAUUAAUAUGACAUGCCAUGGUUUCCAAGACUAGCCCUCUGUUUGGUAUGAAUGAUG
RNAcentral lists this long non-coding RNA (739 nucleotides) under Phoenix dactylifera (date palm). Its description in RNAcentral is "long non-coding RNA (PDAC_LNC003347)". Lineage: Eukaryota; Viridiplantae; Streptophyta; Magnoliopsida; Arecales; Arecaceae. The record is from RNAcentral.